UUGAAAUCUGGUGGCCUCAGGUCAUCCGAGUUGUAAUCUAUAGAAGUGUUUUCCGUGCUGGCUCAUGUACAAGUCCCUUGGAACAGGGCGUCAUAGAGGGUGAGAAUCCCGUCCUUGACAUGAACUACCAGUGCUCUGUGAUACAUUUUCAACGAGUCGAGUUGUUUGGGAAUGCAGCUCAAAAUGGGUGGUAAAUUCCAUCUAAAGCUAAAUAUUGGCGAGAGACCGAUAGCGAACAAGUACCGUGAGGGAAAGAUGAAAAGCACUUUGGAAAGAGAGUUAAACAGUAUGUGAAAUUGUUGAAAGGGAAACGAUUGAAGUCAGUCGUGCUCUUUGGAUUCAGCCGGUUCUGCCGGUGUACUUCCUUUGAGUGGGGUCAACAUCAGUUUUGAUCGCUGGAUAAAGGCUGGAGGAACGUAGUACCCUCGGGUAAACUUAUAGCCUCCUGUCACAUACAGUGGUUGGGACUGAGGAA
This 475-nucleotide ribosomal RNA is filed under the name Filobasidium magnum. Its description in RNAcentral is "partial large subunit ribosomal RNA". It matches the Rfam family "Eukaryotic large subunit ribosomal RNA", at positions 115 to 594 of the family's 3401-position model. Lineage: Eukaryota; Fungi; Basidiomycota; Tremellomycetes; Filobasidiales; Filobasidiaceae. The record is from RNAcentral.